RNAcentral lists this ribosomal RNA (468 nucleotides) under uncultured bacterium. Its description in RNAcentral is "partial 16S ribosomal RNA". It matches the Rfam family "Bacterial small subunit ribosomal RNA", at positions 28 to 507 of the family's 1533-position model. The record is from RNAcentral.
GACGAACGCUGGCGGCGUGCUUAACACAUGCAAGUCGAACGGAAAGGCCCUGCUUUUGUGGGGUGCUCGAUUGGCGAACGGGUGAGUAACACGUGAGUAACCUGCCCUUGACUUUGGGAUAACUUCAGGAAACUGGGGCUAAUACCGGAUAGGAGCUCCUGCUGCAUGGUGGGGGUUGGAAAGUUUCGGCGGUUGGGGAUGGACUCGCGGCUUAUCAGCUUGUUGGUGGGGUAGUGGCUUACCAAGGCUUUGACGGGUAGCCGGCCUGAGAGGGUGACCGGCCACAUUGGGACUGAGAUACGGCCCAGACUCCUACGGGAGGCAGCAGUGGGGAAUAUUGCACAAUGGGCGGAAGCCUGAUGCAGCAACGCCGCGUGCGGGAUGGCGGCCUUCGGGUUGUAAACCGCUUUCGCCUGUGACGAAGCGUGAGUGACGGUAAUGGGUAAAGAAGCACCGGCUAACUACGUG